RNAcentral lists this microRNA precursor (84 nucleotides) under Echinococcus granulosus. Its description in RNAcentral is "microRNA egr-mir-2a precursor". Its record names the gene egr-mir-2a. The record is from miRBase by way of RNAcentral. RNAcentral also lists the same sequence under 1 other name. Lineage: Eukaryota; Metazoa; Platyhelminthes; Cestoda; Cyclophyllidea; Taeniidae.
CUUCGAACCUCCCUACGUUCCAGGGGGAUGUGAGUUUAUACAGCCUAUGAAUCACAGCCCUGCUUGGAACCAAAGGAGCUUCCU